GGAGCUCCAGCCACCGGAGCUCGAGAGCAUUUCCUGACUAAGAAUAAAAGUUUUAUUAAUGAGGGCCAGUGCAUCAGCGGCCGGCCGGCACACUCUUGCCUCGCUCGUCGGGAAGGAUGACGGCUGUGGAAAUACAGACACGAUCACACCACGCCCUUGAUUGCGUUUCCGAUGCCACGUGAACGUCCAGAUGCCGACUUGAAUUCUUGGAGACCUUGGACCGAGGUCGGACCGGUUGUACGGAGUCUGACGGACGUCUCCCGUGGAGGUGGUCGGACAUGAAACUGAUUUUGGAAAACCAUCGUCACAAAGUUAGGGGUUAGAUGCUGAUCCUUUUAGUGGAGCCUACCUGGGCUGACAUCCUGCAUCUGCCCUCUUUUGCUUUUUGGGAAGACUAACUGCUGUGGUUUUCUUCUGUUCCAAGCGCUUGGUCUUGCAGCCACGACUGCCUGGAUUCUGCAGUGACACUUCCAUCUCUGUACCUUGAGAAUCUUGGCUAUCACACGCAGCCAUUAUCCCACAGCAAAACCGUACGCUGCGAGACAGAGAGCCUCCGUCGGCCGGGAGAAUGGGAUAAAGCGCUAGCAACGUGGAUCUUCCUUAGCUUCUUACUGGGGGCUGAUGGCGAAGUGAGGCCACAGGUGGCUCAUGCUGAUGAACUGAUGCUCCAACACCUGACUGGGCGUCAUCCGUAGCGACGCAUCCAGGUGGAACAUACCGUACGGAAGCGGCCUUGUCCAAACACAGAUCAUCAAAGGGAAUUAACAAGUUGUCAUUUUCUAUUAAAGGGUGACAUCAUUGACAGUGGCAAGCCUUAAUCAUGCUAUGAUUCUGACAUCACUUUGGAGAGAUGACAAUGGAUACAAUCAAAUGAAGCGCCAAACAUACAGAACGAAGCCAAUUCCACAUUCAAUGCGGUAUACGAAACUCGUGUUCAAUUCAACAGAAAAGGGCCGAUGCAUUUUCACCGCUUCUCUAUUUUGAAUGGGUCGAAUGAAAAUGACAUCGUAAUGCCAAAGCAGGCCGCUCCGUCUUCAUCAACCACUGUAUUCAUCAUUCCGAUUCGGACUUCACAUCCCUUUUACCCUCCAAUGUCAAUAUCGUAGCUCCCAAUCGAUGCCAAUAAAGCCUAUUGAUCUGA
Molecule: long non-coding RNA, 1141 nt
Organism: Syngnathus typhle (broad-nosed pipefish)
Lineage: Eukaryota; Metazoa; Chordata; Actinopteri; Syngnathiformes; Syngnathidae
Exons: 2
Source: RefSeq, a predicted model, not a curated record